CUAAGUUUUUCAAAUAAUUUGAUGUUAAACAUAUGAAUAUGUACUUUGUAAUAUAUAUUCACAUAUAACUGCGUAUGGGUGUCCACAGGAGGGGUUGUAGCUGUUGACAAAUGCAUUAAUGAACAUUUUUAUCUGCUUACAGCUACAUUAUAGUGUUUAAAAUUUAUUUAAUUUUUUGUUUGUUUGUUUGUUUUUAUUUCUUUAAAUCUUUAGACUUCUGAUAUAAUGUCAGUUGUGAAGUUCCAUAUGUGGUGUCUCAUACAGUGAACAGUACAGUGUUGGCCAUGAUUGCACAGAAAGCACUUUUUUUAACAUGGUUACACUUUGUGGUUUUCAGUGGUUUGGCUGCAACCAACACCUCUCUCCUUCAGACUACCAAUACCUACUGUGUAAAACACAGCAGGAACCAGGUGUGCACAUAGUUUCCUUGCAGUUACCUUUCACUCUCAACUUCUCACUCUCUCUGCAUUUCUCACAGGAACGUCUAUGAGUCAGUAAAACAGCUCGGUCUACUGUGUGUGUUUGCUGUGUUGGGGCCAAGAGGAAAACGAAUUCAGGAUGCUGUGGUCAGAGACCUCCAGUCUAUUCUCUUCCUCUAUUGACUGUUAUCUGUGUGUGUGUGUGUGUGUGUAUGUGUGUGAUGAGCCUCCUCCUGGAAGACACAUUCAGACCCUUUAAUAAAAGUACAAAUAUGAUGCAAAAGUAAAUACAAGCAUGCAUGUAUUAUCAGCAUGACGGAGCAGAUACCAUGCUGCUGUGAGCAUUAUAAAUAUAAGCUCAAGUUAUCAACAUUAGCUUGUACUUUUGAGCCAUUCCAUGUAGGCUGAAUCAUCUGGGACAACACUCUCUGCCUCUCCAUCUAACAUUUUUUUCCCAGGACUCUGCUGCACUGAAAAGAUACAAUGAACCUCAGCACAGCUGCACAGCAAGGAUACUAGGUGCCCUAUUGUACAAACAAAGCAGUAGAGUUCAACCCAGGUUACAAACAAAAGUAGGCUAAAGUUCACAGCAGUGGGGAGAGAGUGCAAAUCACAGUAAUUUCAACCAUUUCCAGUUUAUAUAAUCAAGAUCACACUAAAAAUACUACUACAACCAAUAUAUUUGAUUAAGAUGAUAAAAUGCACAAUAUGACCUGAUUUUUUGACGCUACACUAGGUAGCCUCCUAACCUUUUGCUAUCAUUUCAUAGCCUCCAAUUGUCCCUCAGGAUACCAAAAUGAAUAAAUGAAUAAAUUAUUUAUAUUAUUUAUUUAUUGACUAGAGUCUGCGAGGUGUUUUAUUUUGAAAAAUCCUACACCACAUCCGCCCGUGCCUUUUGAUACCGCUUGACACAUACCUGUCUGUCAUGGCUUAAAGAGCUAAGUAACCAGGUGAAAUGAGUGAACAACGAAUGUCUGUGGAGAGCGUUAUUGAAAAGGGAAAAAAAAGUCCAAUAAUGAGACAGACAGAAAAGCCAAAGACUGUCAAGACAAAUAAAGCUGCAUUUAGUGGGAAAUACCAGGACUCCAACUUAAAGUACGGCCUUAUCGCAACAGGUGAUUCACGUGCUCCAGGCCCCCUCUACAUAAUAUGUGGCUGCAUGCUUCAAAUGAGGCAAUGGACCCUUCAAAACUGCUUCGGCACACAGAGACAAAGCACCCUGCACUAAAAGACAAGCCUGAAUCUAAGUUCUUAUAAGGCAAAAACGUGAACAAGAAGGACAGAAGCAAGUCUUCAGGGCCACCACAGCAACAGGUGUAGCUGCACUAAGAGCACCGUACUUCACCGCUAGCUAACUGUGUUGCUAAGGCUAAGAAGGAAGCUGAUGCUGCCAGCUGCUGCGUUAUGGGAGAAACUUGCAUGAACCUCAAGCCUCAUGAAGCCCUGUCAGGAUCAGCUGGAUAAAAGAAAUAUGUGAAUGCUGAAGCAGUUACACAGGAUCCUUUGCCUUUGACAAAGAACUGCACGAGGGGAGUUUGCAUGGAGAAGGAGCUCAUUUGCAGACUGGAGAGAUGGAUAUGGAGAUACGAUGGCCCAGCCUGCCUGAGACCAGAAUGGGAGAGGUGGGACAUUUACCACAAAUUGUGAUCUGGUCGUGCACACACACUCUCUCACAUACACAGCUGUCUAAACAAGGAAUAGGGGCUCUUUUGCACAAGACUUUUAAGAUGGAAAAUUAACAUCUGCUGCUUUUGUGCUUGAUGUUUUGUGUGUGUUUUUGUGUGUAAGUUUAAGUUUGGCUAAGUGGCCGGCUGAUGGAAGAUGACUGGAAACAGCCAUGCUGCACUUUCAGUUUCCGCUCAGUGAACACACAGAUGCACACAGGCUCUCACGCACCACACUGAAGAAAGUCUGUUAAUUAAAUUUGUGUGGCUGUCAGACAAAAGCUUCACAGGUCUGGAUUCAAUUUGGGUUUUUCAAUUGAAAGAAUCAAAAUCACAGCACUGACCCAGCCCCAAGGAUUGGUCUCUGCAGUUUACUCUAAAACACUUACCUACUGUACUGACUAACUGUGAAAGGCAACCCUAUCCACAAGUGACUCCAAGCUGAAGUAGAAACUCAUCUGGCACAACAUGAAAACCCAAUACCCCAAUUAUCACAUUAAUAUUCACUGAGAUAUUUUAUAUAUUUCACCCCACUCAUCACCCUGUGCGCACAAAAUCAUUAAGUAUAGAGAUGUUUUAAAACACACUGUGCAAACCAAUUCCUUACACACAAGCAGUCUUAUUACUUAAAGUGUGCCACAUUUUCAAAAAUAUGUUCAUUUGACUUUUUGCUGUAAGUUAAAAAUUGAUUUCACUCUUAUGUUGGUACAGAAAAGUAGCUAGAGUUAGCGUUAGGUUAGCUUAGCUUAGCAUAAAAACUGGAAACGGGUAAAAGCUAGCCUUGCUCUGUCCAAAGGUAACACGGUAUGCCUAACAGCACCUCUAAAGUUAACUAAAUCACAGUUACCAUGUUUGUGUAAUGUGUAGGAAAACCAAAGGCAAUCAGUGGAGACGUAAGGAAGCCACGCCUCCUGAACAGUCUGACAACAAACAGCAAAAUGUCAUUUUUACUCUUCAGCUUUUCCACAGAUUGUAUGGCUGUCCUGUCUUUGAGCUAAGCUAAGCUAACCUGCUAUUGACUCAAGCUUCAUAAUUACUGUACAGUUGUGAAAGUGGCAUCAGUCCUCUGACUCCCAAAAUGUCAAACUAUUUCUUUAAUUUCAACUCCACCAUAGUCUCUUGCUAGCUGGCCUUGUAACCUGUACAGUAAAAAGAAAACCUCCCUAUUGUGUGAAAACUACAAACAGCAUCAUGCAUGCAAAUAAAUAAACAAAUAAAAUCCUCAUUGUAGAUGACCUGAUUUUAACUUAGGUAAAUAUCUAAAAUACCACCAUUUGUUUUCUCUGUGGUUUAAACUUGUAACCAUUUAAAAUUACGCCUCAAAAGAGGAAAUUUUCCAUCUGACUACAGUAAGCCAUCACGUUCAGUAGCUUUGUUUUCAUGCCUGCAGUAACACCACAAUUGCCAGAAGACUGAGUGAGACAAACACAAAAUUAAAACGUAUCAAUGAACCUCUUACAUUUGAACAUGUCGCUCUUGCAGGUGUUCCAACAAAGUGACAGAAAAACACGAGCUGCUGCAAUCAAUCACAUGAGCAACGUGAUUACACUUAAAUAACUGUGAUGAAGGUGUAAACAUGUUGUGACUGGUCUUUAUUAAACGCAGCCAACUCUGAGUAUUCCAGUGAGGUUGCUGUGGUAACACUGAGGGAAUAAUCUCUUAAUGUGAGGUUUAAGUGAGUCCUGCAACCACAUUUUUUCACCUAUAUUCUACAAGUAGGUCUACGGUACAUCAGGCAUCACUCACACUCAACACUAUAAACAUGUAAACUUACUUGCUGCUCUGUCACUCCACCCUCAUCUGUAGUUUUGCUAAAUGCUUCAUCAGCUGCUGUUAUUAGCUGCUGUUAUUAGCUACUUUACAGUUCCUGGCUCUUGGUAUCAGGCCAGGAUACUUAUAGUAUUGACCAUUAAGACUGUGUGAUGAAUGGAUGGAUUGCACUUUAGCUAAUUAAUCUGAGCUGCUGCUGCAGUUGCACUCACUGUCAGUCAAACCUAUAUGAGAGUGUUCAACUAAAAUGUAAUGAGAAGCCGUGGGAGGAGAGGUUCAGGGGAGAGGAAGAGGAGGAGGGGGUUUAGAUUUGUUGUUCCUAAGAAGUUUGCAAUUUGGCUUGCUUUGUUUGCAAGCAUUUGCAAUUAAAUACAUUUCCUGAUGAUUUUGUUUGGCUUUAUAUACUGCACGUUCAUAUUUUUGCACUGAUUAUAAACAGGCACUGUAUAUGUGAGAACAUUUGUAGGGCAUCCGCAAACUCAAAAUAGCUCACAGGUGCUGGUGUGCUACAUGUAGCUUCCUUAGUGAGGGUCACACGACUUGAAUAUGGUAACAGAGCCUUCUCUCAGUGUUUUACCUCCCCGAUAAAAGUAAAAAUUAACUACUACAUGUUUCCUAUUUUUGUAUUUUGGCCAAGAUAUUUCUCAGCCCUGCAAUAAAUAUCUCACUCCCCAAAAUGUGUAAUUGCUGCAGUUCAAAGGGAAACAAUCACAGACACUGAGCAAGCAGAGUCAUCACUACAUUAUUCUCAUAUUAAUUAGUGACUACUAACUGCUUCAGAAUGUCCAGAUCACACACUAUUAAUCUGAUCCAAGCAGCCACCGCACCGGAUAUCACCAUUUCACAAACAACAGAUGAACACAAUAAAGUCUGAAACUGGGCAGGCCCUGCACAGAUUAAGCUCCAUUUUAAUUCAUAAGUGGUCGCCCCCAAGUCAUUUUAAAAUCAAGCUGAGUUUGCACCAGUUUAGUUGUCUUUAAAUGCGCAGUCUGACGGGGGUGGGUCACCAACACCUGAAUGACUGUCUGAUUGAUCAGCUAUCUGGCUGUCCAGUUUCUUGCAGUUUAAGCAGUUCAAUGGACCGAUUCCCCAGAGAAAGUCAAAAGAUCUGCUAUAAACCGUAGGGAGCUGGCUUUCAUUUUAUUGACGCAGUAUUUUACAUCGCUAAUUGUAGUCGCGAUUGAGACAUAAAACUAAGCUUGACUGCAGAACAGGCAGACCAUACUGUCUGCAUCCUCCAGUCAUCUGCAUUUGAUUUCAAGUGUUGUUGCUUGAAAUAAUAGCAUGUUUCCCUCUAAAGUUUUUCAUGCAUUUCAGCUUUCCCAUUACACACACUGCUGUAAGGAUUUAGUCCUAUUGUUUGGCAUGAAGAACACAGAUUUGUUGACCAGGAUAUAAUCAGUUCAAAUCUCAGAUCCGUUGAUAAAAACUUGGGGCAGGAACAACGGCUCGUGCUGUGAUUCAGUUGAAUGGUCUUGGGUGAGACACAAAGGCCCUCUGUUGUUCAGUGCAGCACUGUGGUUCUACUAGAUUCUAUGCAAGGGUUUUGCUAGAGAAAUACCAGUUUAGUUAAGGUAGGGUGUCUUGCUCAAAGGCACGCAGGCAGGGAAACAGACUGCGUUUCCUUGAGUCAUGAUCAAAUACCACGCACUUGAAAGGACAAGUGAAAUUGUCCUGAGUUUUAAUAUUUACAAAUAAAACAAAGAAUAACCACAAAAAGAGAAGUUGAACAAGAUGCUGUUGGAGAAAUGACAUCAAUGUGGGUUGGACAAAACUUACAUAGAGCUGGAAAUGAGCAGACUACAGCAGAAAUAUCAGGUAGGCUUGUAAACCACAUUUACUGCAGCUUGGGGGCUUCCCAUGUUUUGAAUAUUUAGGAACCUUUAGUCAGAUUUUCAUCACUAUUGCUGAUAUCAACUCGUGAACAUGUAACUCCAUCUCACAUAAUCUCGCAUUACAAAGCUCUGACAGCUGCUAAAUAGGAAAUAGGAAAAGUUAGGGAGUAUGUCAGAUAAACAUGUUUGAUAUUAUCAACAAGGCACUGAGUACAGUAGUUUACAAAUGUGUUAAC
This is a long non-coding RNA of Lates calcarifer (barramundi perch), 5924 nucleotides long. RefSeq lists it as uncharacterized. Lineage: Eukaryota; Metazoa; Chordata; Actinopteri; Centropomidae. The transcript is spliced from 4 exons. The record is from RefSeq and is a predicted model, not a curated record.